Molecule: long non-coding RNA, 280 nt
Filed under: Olea europaea subsp. europaea
Lineage: Eukaryota; Viridiplantae; Streptophyta; Magnoliopsida; Lamiales; Oleaceae
Source: RNAcentral
GCACUAGAUCCACCACUAUCUAGAACCCUAAUCUUUUUAGAGCAUUAAUUUGUUAAAGGCGGUGGGAGGAAAAAGUUUCAAUUAGUUGAUUCAAAUUUAUUUGAAACAAUGUUUAGUUUGCUAUGUUAUUGUUACAUAAUCAAUUAGUUAAGUAGUCAAAUAGAGUUACCUGUCCAUAUGGAUUAAGUUCAUGAUACUGUCAAGGAAGGCACUUGUGGUACAUCUUCUUGUGCUGUUAAUAUGCAGGCUAAAUUUGAUGAAAUGAUGACAUAUCUUUUCA